AGGGGCGUAGUUCAAUUGGCAGAACGCUGGUCUCCAAAACCAGAUAUUGGGGGUUCGAGUCCCUCCGUCCCUGCCA
RNAcentral lists this transfer RNA (76 nucleotides) under Pantoea sp. Mhis. Its description in RNAcentral is "tRNA-Trp". It matches the Rfam family "tRNA". From Rfam's summary of the family: Transfer RNA (tRNA) molecules are approximately 80 nucleotides in length. Their secondary structure includes four short double-helical elements and three loops (D, anti-codon, and T loops). Further hydrogen bonds mediate the characteristic L-shaped molecular structure. tRNAs have two regions of fundamental functional importance: the anti-codon, which is responsible for specific mRNA codon recognition, and the 3' end, to which the tRNAs corresponding amino acid is attached (by aminoacyl-tRNA synthetases). tRNAs cope with the degeneracy of the genetic code in two manners: having more than one tRNA (with a specific anti-codon) for a particular amino acid; and 'wobble' base-pairing, i.e. permitting non-standard base-pairing at the 3rd anti-codon position. The record is from RNAcentral. Lineage: Bacteria; Pseudomonadati; Pseudomonadota; Gammaproteobacteria; Enterobacterales; Erwiniaceae.